This 259-nucleotide unclassified non-coding RNA is filed under the name Glomeraceae sp. RNAcentral describes it as "partial contains 5.8S ribosomal RNA and internal transcribed spacer 2". The stretch from base 1 to 65 matches the Rfam family "5.8S ribosomal RNA", at positions 84 to 154 of the family's 154-position model. The record is from RNAcentral. Lineage: Eukaryota; Fungi; Glomeromycota; Glomeromycetes; Glomerales; Glomeraceae.
GUGAAUCAUCAAAUUUUUGAACGCAAAUUGCACUCUCUUCGGAGAGUAUGCCUGUUUGAGGGUCAGUAUUAAUAAUAAUCGGUGUGUUGCUUCUGUGGUACGCUCCGGAUGUUGGGUCAUCUUAAUAUCCUUUAGGUUUUAAGAGGCGUAAAAUUGACUUUUUUUGCGCAUUUUAGAUGGACAUAACUUCUUUUUUUUAUUCGUCUGUCUUUAUGCUCAAAGUCCUAUUAGAUUCGACCAUAUCGUGUGGUUGCGAGUC